RNAcentral lists this long non-coding RNA (1663 nucleotides) under Oreochromis niloticus (Nile tilapia). Its description in RNAcentral is "lncRNA (ENSONIG00000032005.1)". Lineage: Eukaryota; Metazoa; Chordata; Actinopteri; Cichliformes; Cichlidae. The record is from RNAcentral.
UCAAAGUCAAAUUCUUUUCUUCGUUGUGUCAAACUAGAUUUAGUAAACAUUAGAUUUUGUGCAGUUGUGUUUGAACUAAAUGCUGCUUUUAGUUUGGGAGCCAGCAUGUUCCAACAGGGCGGCACAGUGACGUGGUGGUUAGCAUCAUUGCCAAGAUGCAAGAAGGUCUUGGGUUUGACUCCAGCACCAGGCUGGGAUUUGCAUGUUCUCCCUGUGUCUGUAAGGGUACACUCCGACUUCCUCCCACAGUCCAAAGACAAGCGGUUAGUUUGGUCAGUUUAACAGAUGAUCCUAAAUUGCUCAAAGCUGUGAAUGGUUGCCCUACGAUAGACUGCUGACCUGUCCAUUUAUUUAGAAAUGCUUCUUCAUGUAUUAGUUUUUAUAUGUCACUCUAUUGUAUUGUGUGGGUGCUCUGGCUUCCUACCACAGUGUGAGAGUGAAUGGUUGUCUGUGUCUGUGUGUUAACCCUGUGACAGACUGGCAACCUGUCCAGGGUGCACAAUACCUCUCACAUUACACAGCUGGGGAUAAGUGGAAGAGGAUGUACGGAUAGUUUUCACGUGUUUGUGACUGUAAUCAAAAGAAUUUAUUUCCUUUAUAUAUUACUCUGUACAGUCUGUAUCAUUAAAAACACACCAAUCAGAUUGAGUAAGUGGACACAAUGGUUGGAAACAUGUUGCUCACAGUGUGAAGCUUCAAUCAUUUUGUCACUUUUAUCAACAAAGCGUUGCAGAAACAUCAACAUCUGUCUGUCUUUCUUUCUCACAGACGAUCAAAUCUGAAAAGAAUGAAUUCAUUCAGAAGCUGAUGGAAACAUUUCUUACAAAGCUCAGUGAAAGCAUCUCUAAGCAGACAGAGUCAGAGAAGAAAUCUGAAAUCAACAAUCGGCUCCAGCAGGUGAAGGAAGCAGCAGAGAAACUGAAGAAUCAGCUGGAGUCCAAAAAUCAGCAGAUGAUCAACUCUGAGAAGGAGAAGGAUGAAAUAAUUAAGAAGCUGAUGGAAACAUUUCCUAAACUGGAAUCAAAGGUCAGUGAAAGCAUCUCUCAGCACACAGAGGUAAACAUGGACAUAUGUGAUGCUGUCAUCCUCCCAAUGAUCACAGACCUGUAACCUUAUAUUCCUGCGGUUUUGUCCAGCAGCAGCUUUUUUGUAGAAGUAACUAGUAACCAUAAUUACUUUUUAAAUAAAUGGCCUGUAUUUAUAUAGCGCUUUUACUAAAUGGUAAAUGGCCUGUAUUUGUAUAGCGCUUUACUUAGUCCCUAAGGACCCCAAAGCGCUUUACAUAUCCAGUCAUUCACCCAUUCACACACACAUUCACACACUGGUGAUGGCAAGCUAGGUUGUAGCCACAGCCACCCUGGGGCGCACUAACAGAGGCGAGGCUGCCGGACACUGGUGCCACCGGGCCCUCUGACCACCACCAGUAGGCAACGGGUGAAGUGUCUUGCCCAAGGACACAACGACAGAGACUGUCCGGGCCAGGGCUCGAACAGGCAACCUUCCGAUUACAAAGCGAACUCCCAACUCUUGAGCCACGAUCGCCCCAAAUAAAUAAUUUUUUAUUUAUAUCGCACCUUUCAAGACAGAAUCACAAAGUGCUGCACAUAAGAUUACAAGUCAUAAAAAGAUUUAAAAAGAGAAAAUAAAACAGGCAAAAAAUUAA